UACGUAGGCGGAAAAUUAAGUCAGUAGUGAAAUCCUGCAGCUUAACUGUAGAACUGUUAUUGAUACUGGUUUUCUUGAAUUUAGUUGAGGUGGGCGGAACGUGUAAUGUAGCGGUGAAAUGCUUAGAUAUUACACAGAACACCGAUUGCGAAGGCAGCUCACUAAACUAAUAUUGACGCUGAGGCACGAAAGCGUGGGUAGCGAACAGGAUUAGAUACCCUGGUAGUCC
Molecule: ribosomal RNA, 229 nt
Filed under: uncultured bacterium
Lineage: Bacteria
Description: partial 16S ribosomal RNA
Rfam family: Bacterial small subunit ribosomal RNA
Source: RNAcentral